AACGAACGCUGGCGGCGUGCUUAACACAUGCAAGUCGAACGGAAAGGCCCUGCUUUUGUGGGGUGCUCGAGUGGCGAACGGGUGAGUAACACGUGAGUAACCUGCCCUUUACUUUUGGAUAACUUCAGGAAACUGGGGCUAAUACCGUAUAGGAGCUCCUGCUGCAUGGUGGGGGUUGGAUAGUUUCGGCGGGUGUGGUUGGACUCGCGGGUUAACAGCUUGUUAGUUGGCUAGUGGCUUACCAAGCCGUUGACCGGUAGCCGGCCGGAGAAGGGGACCGGCGACAUUGGGACUGAGAGACGGCGCAGACGGCUACGGGAGGCAGCAGUGGGGAAUAUUGCACAAUGGGCGGAAGCCGGAUGAAGAAGCGCUGCGUGCGGGAUGACGGCCUGCGGGUUGUGAACCGCAUUAGCCUGUGACGAAGCGUGAGUGACGGUAAUGGGAAAAGAAGCACCGGCUAACUACGUG
RNAcentral lists this ribosomal RNA (468 nucleotides) under uncultured bacterium. RNAcentral's name for it is "partial 16S ribosomal RNA". It matches the Rfam family "Bacterial small subunit ribosomal RNA", at positions 28 to 507 of the family's 1533-position model. The record is from RNAcentral.